AGAAGCAGUUAUAUCCCUAAGUCAUAAAGCAGCAGCUGGGCCCAAGAUUCCUGGCAUCCUUCCAAUCUCACCUCCCCCGCCCUAUUUACCCAGGAGCAAAAGAAGCGGAGGGAAGCAACACAGCGCAGCGUGACUACGUGCUUGAUCUGUCUCCUCCUAACGGGCAUGCAGGCAACCCAGGUGCCUUAGGUAAGUGACCCCAUUCCCUGCCCUGCCUUGGAGGGCCGGAUGAGUCAAAGAGUAAUCUUAUCCCUCUGCUAGUGAGUACAAAUGAAGUCUGUGGGCCAACAAGGAGCGAGGAGCAGUUUCCUGGAAGCCCUGGGCUGGUGUUUGACUUGCUUUGAGAUAGAAUAAAUGGGAGAAAGAGACUUUAUGGGACAUCUGGGCCUAGGGCUCCUGGAUGCUGUGCUGAAAACACCACGUACAGAAGCCAGUCUAACCUUCUGGAUGAUGAGAGCCCAGAUGCAGUACAGAGGUGCCCCAGCCAACAAUCAGCUGCUAUCUGAAUCCCAUCUGGAUCCCAUCUGAAUCCCAUGUCACCAUGAAUGAGGCCACCUUAGCCCAGCCAGCACAGCUGAAAGCCAGAAGCAGCCGCAUGCACAAGCCCAGGGGAAGCCCACAGAGGAACCACCAGCCAACACACAGAAUUGCAAGCAGUUAAGCAACUAAGAUUAAGACAACAAUUUUAAAAUGAACCAGGUCCGGCCGGGUGCGGUGGCUCUCAGGCCUGUAAUCCCAGCACUUUGGGAGGCCGAAGCGAGCGGGUCACCGGAGGUUGGGAGUUCGAGACCAGCCUGACCAACAUGGAGAAACCCCGUCUCUACUAAAAAUACAAAGUUAGCCAGGCGUGGUGGCGCAUGCCUGUAAUCCCAGCUACUCGGGAGGCUGAAGUAAGGUUAUAACAUGGCCUGGCGUGCAGUACGUGCUCAAUAAAUGCUCACCGUUAUUGUUGAUCAGGCAUUUCUGAUCUUGUCCCCUAUGCCAUUCACUAUGAGGGCUCACGAUGACAGGCAAGAAACAAGUAAUCUACUAGGGAAAUAAUUGGGGAACUCUCAGGAACACCACAAUGGCUAGAGAGCCUAGGAAAGCAGUUCAUACACUGGAGGCCAAAAAGAAGGACUCGUGCCUGCCAUGUGUGUGGCAGAAGCUUCCGAGUAUCAACUAUUAAUAAUAUCAUUUUCCUUUCUUAUUAUUAAUAGAACCCCAGCUUUUAAGUUGGUCUCCGCAGAGGACAACUGCAUUCUCCAGCCUCCUGUACAGCAGAGAGUGCCAUGUGACUAAGACCAAGUUCUAACCAGUGGGAUCAAAGCAGGGAAGUGUUGCCUUCUUUGCCCCUUCCUGCUGGCUGGAAUAUGACAAAACGGCUGCAGCAUGAGCAACCUUCUUGGGCCCUGAGGUGGAAGCCACCUGUUGGUUGACCGACCAGAUGGUGGAGUGACCAGAUAGAAGGGGCCUGGUGAUUGUGGAUUCUGCCACACUACCUCUGGUCCCCUAUACCUAUGUGAAAGGAAAAGAAAUGUCUGCCAUGUUCGUGUGUGUGUGUGUGUGUGUAGUGUGUGUGUGUGUGUGUGUGUCUGCCAUGUUUAAGCCACUAUAACUUUGGGAUAUCUGUGGCUUAUAGUCAAAUCUAAUCCAAACAAAUGCACCUCUAUGUCCCCCUCACAGAUAAGAAGAUUGAUGCAAGGGAACCCCUGAUGUGGCCAUAACACAAAGAUAGCUUCAACCACCACCGAUACGGAGCUGGACUCCGCCCUUCCUGGCCUCCUGGCCUUUUAUUCCCCGCUAAUUCCUCUGGAUUCCUAAUGACUCCCAUUCCCUGCAUGCACACCAGGUACAGUCACAUCUCCUGGCGUUUACUCUUGCCAUACCCAGUGUCCAGCUUCCCUCCCUUAUCUUUGUUUUGUUUUGUUUUUUGAGACGGAGUCUUGCUCUGUCGCCCAGGCUGGAGUGCAGUGGUGUGAUCUCGGCUCACUGCAACCUCCGCCUCCCGGGUUCAAGCCAUUCUCCUGCCACAGCCUCCCCAGUAGUUGAGAUUACAGGCACAGGCA
This 2048-nucleotide long non-coding RNA is filed under the name Homo sapiens (human). Its description in RNAcentral is "HSALNT0401599". The record is from RNAcentral. Lineage: Eukaryota; Metazoa; Chordata; Mammalia; Primates; Hominidae.